Molecule: long non-coding RNA, 650 nt
Organism: Sapajus apella (tufted capuchin)
Lineage: Eukaryota; Metazoa; Chordata; Mammalia; Primates; Cebidae
Exons: 3
Source: RefSeq, a predicted model, not a curated record
AGAGGUCUGCUUCAGGAGGUGGGAAGUACUGAAAACAGAAAACCUUGGCGUGAUAGCGCCAGCUCCCCAACCCUCCCCCACACCAGCCCCCAACAGCCUCUAGCCGCAUUAGGCAGAUGGCAGGAGAAUUAAGCUUGCUGCCAGAGACCACAAGGCCUGCAGGGGUAGGAGGACCAGUGAGCAGAUUAAGCCCUGGAUCGUCUGCCCCCUAAAAGCCCCUGACCCAUUUCUCUGUCGGGAAAGGAAACUGCUGUGAGGGACACCCAACGGGAACGGUGAAGAGAACUCGGGGGCCUGCCCCAUCCUGUGCUAAGGGACCCAGGCUUGUUCUGAGACGCCGCAAGGUGGGCUCCUUUCCUUUGCGGCCCCUCGGCCGUCCGGGGUCUUGGAACUGGUGUUUGGGGUCUUCCUUUUUAACCGACCAACAGAGGCAGGCUGGGUGCCAGGACCAGCUUCCACCGGCCGGAGGUGCUUCCCGGCCCGCUGGGCAAGGACAGGGGGGCUCGGGCAGGGUCUGAGGGAGAUCUGGGAUGGGCGGGGACGGUAAGGACAGCAGGUGACAAGCCGCGCCCUGAGCGAAGCUCUCGGCUCCGGGGUCGUGAGCGACCUAGGUUCCCCCAGAGUCCAGCUGGUCUCCUGCGGCACUUACG